This 929-nucleotide ribosomal RNA is filed under the name Brevibacterium sp. RNAcentral's name for it is "bacterial SSU rRNA". It matches the Rfam family "Bacterial small subunit ribosomal RNA", at positions 565 to 1490 of the family's 1533-position model. The record is from RNAcentral. Lineage: Bacteria; Bacillati; Actinomycetota; Actinomycetes; Micrococcales; Brevibacteriaceae.
GAGCUCGUAGGUGGUUGGUCACGUCUGCUGUGGAAACGCAACGCUUAACGUUGCGCGUGCAGUGGGUACGGGCUGACUAGAGUGCAGUAGGGGAGUCUGGAAUUCCUGGUGUAGCGGUGAAAUGCGCAGAUAUCAGGAGGAACACCGGUGGCGAAGGCGGGACUCUGGGCUGUAACUGACACUGAGGAGCGAAAGCAUGGGGAGCGAACAGGAUUAGAUACCCUGGUAGUCCAUGCCGUAAACGUUGGGCACUAGGUGUGGGGGACAUUCCACGUUCUCCGCGCCGUAGCUAACGCAUUAAGUGCCCCGCCUGGGGAGUACGGUCGCAAGGCUAAAACUCAAAGGAAUUGACGGGGGCCCGCACAAGCGGCGGAGCAUGCGGAUUAAUUCGAUGCAACGCGAAGAACCUUACCAAGGCUUGACAUACACUGGACCGUUCUGGAAACAGUUCUUCUCUUUGGAGCUGGUGUACAGGUGGUGCAUGGUUGUCGUCAGCUCGUGUCGUGAGAUGUUGGGUUAAGUCCCGCAACGAGCGCAACCCUCGUUCUAUGUUGCCAGCACGUGAUGGUGGGAACUCAUAGGAGACUGCCGGGGUCAACUCGGAGGAAGGUGGGGAUGACGUCAAAUCAUCAUGCCCUUUAUGUCUUGGGCUUCACGCAUGCUACAAUGGCUGGUACAGAGAGAGGCGAACCCGUGAGGGUAAGCGAAUCCCUUAAAGCCAGUCUCAGUUCGGAUCGUAGUCUGCAAUUCGACUACGUGAAGUCGGAGUCGCUAGUAAUCGCAGAUCAGCAACGCUGCGGUGAAUACGUUCCCGGGCCUUGUACACACCGCCCGUCAAGUCACGAAAGUCGGUAACACCCGAAGCCGGUGUCCCAACCCUUGUGGAGGGGGCCGUCUAAUGUGGGACUGGUGAUUGGGACGAAGUCGUA